Molecule: non-coding RNA, 198 nt
Organism: Phascolarctos cinereus (koala)
Lineage: Eukaryota; Metazoa; Chordata; Mammalia; Diprotodontia; Phascolarctidae
Source: RefSeq, a predicted model, not a curated record
AGCAAGGGAUAUGAACUUUAUGUCACUUGUCCUGUACCAUCCAUGUUACUUUGAUCCUGAAGAAGGACUUUCUCACUGGCAUCAGAAGUUUUCUUGUGGAAAAGAUGGUGAGAUGUUGGCCAGAUCAUCACACAGUUGUGAAUUUAGAACUCCUGGAAUGGCUUGACCAAAAGUUCGUGUUUUGAUACAGACUUGAAA